RNAcentral lists this ribosomal RNA (258 nucleotides) under uncultured Streptococcaceae bacterium. RNAcentral describes it as "partial 16S ribosomal RNA". It matches the Rfam family "Bacterial small subunit ribosomal RNA", at positions 551 to 809 of the family's 1533-position model. Lineage: Bacteria; Bacillati; Bacillota; Bacilli; Lactobacillales; Streptococcaceae. The record is from RNAcentral.
UUAUUGGGCGUAAAGCGAGCGCAGGUGGUUUAUUAAGUCUGGUGUAAAAGGCAGUGGCUCAACCAUUGUAUGCAUUGGAAACUGGUAGACUUGAGUGCAGGAGAGGAGAGUGGAAUUCCAUGUGUAGCGGUGAAAUGCGUAGAUAUAUGGAGGAACACCGGUGGCGAAAGCGGCUCUCUGGCCUGUAACUGACACUGAGGCUCGAAAGCGUGGGGAGCAAACAGGAUUAGAUACCCUGGUAGUCAAGGGCGAAUUCGC